Molecule: ribosomal RNA, 697 nt
Filed under: Triticum aestivum (bread wheat)
Lineage: Eukaryota; Viridiplantae; Streptophyta; Magnoliopsida; Poales; Poaceae
Description: partial small subunit ribosomal RNA
Source: RNAcentral
GUUACCAAGUACGAGAUUAUACCAUUUGUGUCGUCUGUUAGAUAUGUUGUUGUUGGAAUGUAAUCCGUCAAUGAGUUCACCGUUCCUUUUAGACGGAGGGUUUUCCGAACAUGCGGGUUCGUUCAUAGUUACGAGUGGAAAGCUAUUGCUAGACUCUCCGGGAGAGUGCGGUGAACUCUUCGUCGAUGUGUCGUUGUAACACCAUGAUUCGUUUUAACUUGGACUAUCUUCCCGCCACAACCAGCUAUUUUGGUCAGAUAGGGAACCUGUUGAGCCGUUAAGUAAGCUGUGGUUGCCUGUACACCUUCGAAUACAAAAGUUACAAAAGUUACAAAAGUUAUAGAUAAUUUUUGUUGUACUUUGUACUACCGCUCAGUGGGAAAGUGUACCUCCAUUUUCUAAACUACUAUUUGUUAAAAUAGUUUUGUACCCUUCUCAGCUCUGAGCCCUCUUACCCCAAGUCUUUAAAACCAUAUCUUAUGGGUUUGUACGGAUUCGUUUAACCUUCUCUACGAACGCCCUAAAAACACGAGUUCACCUACGUUUGAAAACGAAGCGCCUUAGGAGAGGUCGGGGUUAAGUCCUACUUCCUGCACCGUCUACGUUCCCAGUCUAAACGACAACUAUAGGAGAAGUCGUUAGUAUUGUGACUACUACUUCGGUUUUCUGAACAGUUCAUGAAAGCAAUUAUUUAACC